GAGGUCAGUAAUCCUCUCUCUUUAUACAAAGCUCCAUGGGCAUGAGUGGUUAAAAACGCGUACUUUGAGUCUGUGUAGAUAUUUACUUUCAACCCUUCAGCCAAUUGCAAAGCCCAUGUAAGUGCGAUUAAUUCUGCCUUCUGUGCUGAUGUUCCUUUUGACAAUGGCCGCGCUUCUAUCACCUUGUCUAUAGUUGUCACUGCAUAUCCGGCAUAGCGAAUCCCUUCUUUCACGUAACUACUGCCGUCCGUGUAAGACUGAACAUCGGAGUUCUGGAUGGGAAAAUCAUGAAGGUUCGGUCUACUUGAGAACACUUCAUCCAUUACCUCCAGGCAAUCAUGUCGACUCUCA
Pelobates cultripes (western spadefoot toad) is the source of this 351-nucleotide non-coding RNA. The record is from the annotation of a GenBank genome assembly. NCBI's taxonomy places the organism in Eukaryota, Metazoa, Chordata, Amphibia, Anura, Pelobatidae.